RNAcentral lists this ribosomal RNA (459 nucleotides) under uncultured bacterium. RNAcentral's name for it is "partial 16S ribosomal RNA". It matches the Rfam family "Bacterial small subunit ribosomal RNA", at positions 338 to 795 of the family's 1533-position model. The record is from RNAcentral.
CCUACGGGGUGCAGCAGUGAGGAAUAUUGGUCAAUGGGCGCGAGCCUGAACCCGCCAAGUCGCGUGAGGGAAGACGGUCCUAUGGAUUGUACACCUCUUUUGUCGGGGAGCAAAAGACGCCACGCGUGGUGUUCCGAGAGUACCCGAAGAAAAAGCAUCUGCUAACUCCGUGCCAGCAGCCGCGGUAAUACGGAGGAUGCGAGCGUUAUCCGGAUUUAUUGGGUUUCAAGGGUGCGCAGGCGGAAGAUCAAGUCAGCGGUAAAAUUGAGAGGCUCAACCUCUUCGAGCCGUUGAAACUGGUUGUCUUGAGUGAGUGAGAAGGAGGCGGAAUGCGUGGUGUAGCGGUGAAAUGCAUAGAUAUCACGCAGAACUCCGAUUGCGAAGGCAGCAUACCGGCGCUCAACUGACGCUCAUGCACGAAAGUGUGGGUAUCGAACAGGAGUAGAUACCCGUGUAGUC